Molecule: ribosomal RNA, 992 nt
Filed under: human gut metagenome
Description: bacterial LSU rRNA
Rfam family: Bacterial large subunit ribosomal RNA
Source: RNAcentral
AACUAUAACGGUCCUAAGGUAGCGAAAUUCCUUGUCAGGUAAGUUCUGACCCGCAUGAAAGGCGUAAUGAUUUGGGCACUGUCUCAACAGCCCGCCCGGCGAAAUUGUAGUACCGGUGAAGAUGCCGGUUACCCGCGACAAGACGGAAAGACCCCAUGGAGCUUUACUGUAGCCUAAUAUUGGGUUUCGAUGUUGCAUGCACAGGAUAGAUGGGACUCUUGGAAACCAAGGCUUUGGCUUUGGCGGAGAGGCCGUUGGGAUACCAUCCUUGCGAUAUUGGAAUUCUAACCUGCGGCUCUGAAUCGAGUCGGGGGACAUUGUUAGGUGGGCAGUUUGACUGGGGCGGUCGCCUCCUAAAGAGUAACGGAGGCGUUCAAAGGUUCGCUCAGCUUGAACGGAAAUCAAGCAAAAGAGUGCAAACGCAGAAGCGAGCCUAACUGCGAGACUGACGGGUCGAGCAGUAACGAAAGUUGGAGUUAGUGAUCCGGUGGUAUGUGAGUGGAAAUGCCAUCGCUCAACGGAUAAAAGUUACCCUGGGGAUAACAGGCUGAUCUCCCCCAAGAGUCCACAUCGACGGGGAGGUUUGGCACCUCGAUGUCGGCUCAUCGCAUCCUGGAGCUGAAUUCGGUUCCAAGGGUUGGGCUGUUCGCCCAUUAAAGCGGUACGCGAGCUGGGUUCAGAACGUCGUGAGACAGUUCGGUCCCUAUCUGUCGUGGGCGCAGGAUAUUUGAUGGGAGCUGUCCCUAGUACGAGAGGACCGGGACGGACGUACCUCUGGCGCACCAGUUGUUCCGCCAGGAGCAUAGCUGGGCAACUACGUACGGAUCGGAUAAACGCUGAAAGCAUCUAAGCGUGAAGCCGACCCAAAGAUAAGAUAUCCCACUGAUUGAAUCAGGUAAGAUCCCUUGUAGACUACGAGGUUGAUAGGCACGAUGUGUAAGUGGAGCGAUCCAUUCAGCAAGUGUGUACUAAUAGAUCGAGGGCUUGACCAC